UGGGCAACCUGCCCUUGACUCUGGAAUAACAGCUGGAAACAGCUGCUAAUACCGGAUACGACCUCCGAUGGCAUCAUCUGGAGGUGGUAAGCUCCGACGGUCAAGGAUGGGCUCGCGGCCUAUCAGCUUGUUGGUGAGGUAACGGCUCACCAAGGCUUCGACGGGUAGCCGGCCUGAGAGGGCGACCGGCCACACUGGGACUGAGAUACGGCCCAGACUCCGUAGGAGG
RNAcentral lists this ribosomal RNA (229 nucleotides) under uncultured bacterium. RNAcentral describes it as "partial 16S ribosomal RNA". It matches the Rfam family "Bacterial small subunit ribosomal RNA", at positions 118 to 348 of the family's 1533-position model. The record is from RNAcentral.